UAAUGUAUGGGGAUCUGCCCGAUAGAGGGGGAUAACUACUGGAAACGGUGGCUAAUACCGCAUAAUGCUACGGACCAAAGCAGGGGCUCUUCGGACCUUGCACUAUCGGAUGAACCCAUAUGGGAUUAGCUAGUAGGUGGGGUAAAGGCUCACCUAGGCGACGAUCUCUAGCUGGUCUGAGAGGAUGAUCAGCCACACUGGGACUGAGACACGGCCCAG
RNAcentral lists this ribosomal RNA (219 nucleotides) under uncultured bacterium. Its description in RNAcentral is "partial 16S ribosomal RNA". It matches the Rfam family "Bacterial small subunit ribosomal RNA", at positions 111 to 334 of the family's 1533-position model. The record is from RNAcentral.